RNAcentral lists this long non-coding RNA (477 nucleotides) under Homo sapiens (human). Its description in RNAcentral is "HSALNT0042030". The record is from RNAcentral. Lineage: Eukaryota; Metazoa; Chordata; Mammalia; Primates; Hominidae.
CAGCCUCCAGAGCACCAGCACUGGCACUGGCACUGGCACACGCUAUGGCAAAUGAAGUGCAAGACCUGCUCUCCCCUCGGAAAGGGGGACAUCCUCCUGCAGUAAAAGCUGGAGGAAUGAGAAUUUCCAAAAAACAAGAAAUUGGCACCUUGGAAAGACAUACCAAAAAAACAGGAUUCGAGAAAACAAGCUCAACUAUAAAUUUCCAGCAACAGUGCACAUGGCGCAUCAAAAACCCACACCUGCUCUGGAAAAGGUUGUUCCACUGAAAAGGAUCUACAUUAUUCAGCAGCCUCGAAAAUGUUAAGCCUGGAUUUAAAACACAGCCGUCUGGCCAGCUGCCUCGAAUAUCUGACAGCUUAGCAAAAAGGGCCAAAGCUUUCCAUAGGCGUGCUGCACUUGCUUGGUAAAUUAAGCAGCUUUUGUAUCUUCCCCUUUGACUUUAGGUAAUAAAGCAUCCAAACUUGUAAAUCUGAC